CCUACGGGUGGCAGCAGUGAGGACUAUUGGUCAAUGGGCGCGAGCCUGAACCAGCCAAGUAGCGUGAAGGAUGACUGCCCUACGGGUUGUAAACUUCUUUUAUAAAGGAAUAAAGUGAGGCACGUGUGCCUUUUUGUAUGUACUUUAUGAAUAAGGAUCGGCUAACUCCGUGCCAGCAGCCGCGGUAAUACGGAGGAUCCGAGCGUUAUCCGGAUUUAUUGGGUUUAAAGGGAGCGUAGAUGUGUUGUUCAGUCCGGUGGGAAAGUUUGCGGCUGAACCGUAAAAAUGCAAUUGAUACUGGCAGCCUUGAGUACGGUUGAGGUAGGCGGAAUGCGUGGUGUAGCGGUGAAAUGCUUAGAUAUCACGAAGAACUCCGAUUGCGAAGGCAGCUUACUAAACUGCCACUGACAUUGAUGCUCGAAAGUGUGGGUAUCAAACAGGAUUAGAUACCCCUGUAGUC
This 460-nucleotide ribosomal RNA is filed under the name uncultured bacterium. RNAcentral describes it as "partial 16S ribosomal RNA". It matches the Rfam family "Bacterial small subunit ribosomal RNA", at positions 338 to 795 of the family's 1533-position model. The record is from RNAcentral.